CGCGUAGGCGGUUGUGUGAGUGUGAUGUGAAAGCCCCGGGCUUAACCUGGGAAGUGCAUCGCAAACGACAUAACUGGAGUAGAUGAGAGGGUGGUGGAAUUUCCGGUGUAGCGGUGAAAUGCGUAGAGAUCGGAAGGAACGUCAAUGGCGAAGGCAGCCACCUGGUAUCAUACUGACGCUGAGGCGCGAAAGCGUGGGGAUCAAACAGGAUUAGAUACCCUGGUAGUCCACGCUGUAAACGAUGAGAACUAGAUGCUGGUGGGGGAACCCAUCAGUAUCGAAGCUAACGCGAUAAGUUCUCCGCCUGGGGAGUACGGCCGCAAGGUUGAA
This 330-nucleotide ribosomal RNA is filed under the name uncultured Aquicella sp. Its description in RNAcentral is "bacterial SSU rRNA". It matches the Rfam family "Bacterial small subunit ribosomal RNA", at positions 568 to 898 of the family's 1533-position model. The record is from RNAcentral. Lineage: Bacteria; Pseudomonadati; Pseudomonadota; Gammaproteobacteria; Legionellales; Coxiellaceae.